AAAACGGAGAGUUUGAUCCUGGCUCAGGAUGAACGCUGGCGGUAUGCUUAACACAUGCAAGUCGAACGGAAUCCUUAGGGAUUUAGUGGCGGACGGGUGAGUAACGCGUGAGAAUCUGGCUUCAGG
RNAcentral lists this ribosomal RNA (126 nucleotides) under Trichormus variabilis FACHB-164. RNAcentral describes it as "partial 16S ribosomal RNA". It matches the Rfam family "Bacterial small subunit ribosomal RNA", at positions 1 to 136 of the family's 1533-position model. The record is from RNAcentral. Lineage: Bacteria; Bacillati; Cyanobacteriota; Cyanophyceae; Nostocales; Nostocaceae.